GGAGGGAUCAUUAAACGUAUCCAACGUUUAACUCUUUGUGAACUCAAUUUUCAAAACAACUUCUUGAGUGGUGGCGCUUUGAGACUUGUGUGAGUGCUGCAGGUGAAAUUUUUGGGUAAAACCAAAUUUUUCAGAGCUCUACAUGUCAAGCCACGUGUCAGGAGGGUCGAAGCCUGUGGGUGUUUUCUUUUUUACUUUUUAACGCUUAUGUAAAUCUUUGAUGAAACUUGUGGAUUGGUUUCACAAUCCACGUUAAACAAAAAAAUGAAACGUUAAGCACAACUCUUAACAACGGAUAUCUAGGCUCUCGUAACGAUGAAGAACGCAGCGAAAUGCGAUACGUAAUGCGAAUUGCAGAAUUCAGUGAAUCAUCAAAUCUUUGAACGCAACUUGCGCUCUUGGGUAUCCCUGAGAGCAUGCCUCUUUGAGUAUCGUUUCAACCCAAUCUCAGCUUCGUGCUGAGGAAAAUGAGUGUUUUCUCGGCUUGCGUUGGUUUUCGAAUCACGUGUCGAGUCACUUUAAAUUUAGCUGACACUUAUUUCCAGCUUAUCCCAAAACGCUUUGCAUUGUUAAGUCCUGUGUUCCGCUAAAGGUCGCACUUUGGCCGGGUCAUUUUUAAGGACCAACCAACUAGCUUUUGAUGUUGAUAUUUGACUUCGGUCAUUACUUUAUUCUACAUCGAACUAGGGCUGGUCCGUAAAAUUCAUAUAUGACUGCCAUUCCGAUAGGAACUACGUUGGAUGCUAUGUAGCGUGAGUUGGAGUUUGAAUAAUUCGAGUGUCGUAACAAAUAAAUCACAAGCUGUUUUUCACGAAACUGUCUUGAAAAUUUGAUCUCAAAUGAAGCAAGAAAACCCGCCGAAUUUAAGCAUAUUAUUAAGCGGAGGAAAAGAAACUAACAAGGAUUCCCCUAGUAACGGCGAGUGAAGCGGGAAGAGCUCAAAGUUAAAAUCGGGGCACCUAGCGGUGAUCUCGAAUUGUAAUCUGUAGACGCGUUUUCAGUCCCGACCUGGGUAUAAGUCUUUUGAAACAAGGCAUCAGAGAGGGUGAGAAUCCCGUCUUUGACCUGGAGUUCGGGGCGUACGAAGCGCGCUCAAAGAGUCGAAUAGCUUGGGAAUGCUGUUCUAAAUGGGUGGUAAAUUUCAUCUAAAGCUAAAUAUCGACGAGAGACCGAUAGCGAACAAGUACCGUGAGGGAAAGAUGAAAAGAACUUUGAAAAGAGAGUUAAAAAGUACUUGAAAUUGUUAAGAAGGAAGCUCUGGAAACCAGUGGUGCCUGGUCUGAUAUUACCUUUACGUACGUUAGAGGGCAAGCCCGUAUCUUAUCGAGCGGGUGAAACUUCAGGGCGUGCGUGAGGAGUCUGUCGGAUUGGGUGAGUCAGGAUCAAGUCGUCUCGGAGGAGAAAGUUGGCGGAAGGUAGUCCGCUGCUAGCAAUAGCAGUGGAAACUUAUAGCCGUUAACUAUACUUCGGGGUUGCUUGAGGAAUCAAAGACAAUGCGUUCCGUAAGGCUGCAGGUGGCAUUUCCUGGUUUUCUGCGAAUUUGAACAGCAAAGCUGUGUAGAGUUUGCAGGAUUCUACUGAGGUGUCUCUUGACCACGCAUUCGCGAUCUUGACGAAAUGGUUUUCAUAGACCCGUCUUGAAACACGGACCAAGGAGUCUAACAACUAUGCGAGUAUUUGGGCUUGAAAACCCUGAUGCGAAAUGAAAGUGAAGACUGCCUUCGGCAGUUGAGGUAGGAACCGCAAGGGGCACUAUCGACCGAUCGUUCAUUCAUGAAAGAUUUGAGUAAGAGCAUAUCUGUUGGGACCCGAAAGAUGGUGAACUAUGCCUGAUCAGGGUGAAGCCAGGGGAAACUCUGGUGGAGGCUCGUAGCGAUACUGACGUGCAAAUCGUUCGUCUGAAUUGGGUAUAGGGGCGAAAGACUAAUCGAACUAUCUAGUAGCUGGUUCCCGC
Molecule: unclassified non-coding RNA, 1954 nt
Filed under: uncultured fungus
Lineage: Eukaryota; Fungi
Description: sequence contains 18S rRNA gene, ITS1, 5.8S rRNA gene, ITS2, 28S rRNA gene
Rfam family: Eukaryotic large subunit ribosomal RNA (bases 831-1954)
Source: RNAcentral